UUUCUUACAAGUUCACAAGCAAUACUUAUUGUCUGGUCAAAGAUAGCUGGGAAGUAUGAGUAUAAUGUUACCACAGCGAACUUUAUGGUGGAGACUUUGAAAUGUGCCUUGUCACUUGCAGCGUUGGCAAGAAUAUGGAAAAGUGAAGGUGUUACAGAUGAUAACAGGUUGAGUACAACCCUCGAUG
Long non-coding RNA from Hibiscus syriacus, 187 nucleotides. RefSeq lists it as uncharacterized. The transcript has 3 exons. The record is from RefSeq and is a predicted model, not a curated record. Lineage: Eukaryota; Viridiplantae; Streptophyta; Magnoliopsida; Malvales; Malvaceae.